RNAcentral lists this ribosomal RNA (433 nucleotides) under uncultured bacterium. Its description in RNAcentral is "partial 16S ribosomal RNA". It matches the Rfam family "Bacterial small subunit ribosomal RNA", at positions 29 to 507 of the family's 1533-position model. The record is from RNAcentral.
AACGAACGCUGGCGGCAUGCCUAACACAUGCAAGUCGAACGAGACCUUCGGGUCUAGUGGCGCACGGGUGCGUAACGCGUGGGAACCUGCCCUUAGGUUCGGAAUAACUCCCCGAAAGGGGUGCUAAUACCGGAUAAUGUCUUCGGACCAAAGAUUUAUCGCCUUUGGAUGGGCCCGCGUUGGAUUAGCUAGUUGGUAGGGUAAAAGCCUACCAAGGCGACGAUCCAUAGCUGGUCUGAGAGGAUGAUCAACCACACUGGGACUGAGACACGGCCCAGACUCCUACGGGAGGCAGCAGUGGGGAAUAUUGGACAAUGGGCGAAAGCCCGAUCCAGCAAUGCCGCGUGAGUGAUGAAGGCCUUAGGGUUGUAAAGCUCUUUUACCUGGGAUGAUAAUGACAGUACCGGGAGAAUAAGCUCCGGCUAACUCCGUG